GACGAACGCUGGCGGCGUGCCUAAUACAUGCAAGUCGAGCGGACUUUAACCUUCGGGUUAAAGUUAGCGGCGGACGGGUGAGUAACACGUAGGCAACCUGCCUGUAAGAUCGGGAUAACUAUCGGAAACGAUAGCUAAGACCGGAUAAUUGAUCUUUCCGCAUGGAGGGAUCAUGAAACACGGAGCAAUCUGUGGCUUACAGAUGGGCCUGCGGCGCAUUAGCUAGAGGUGAGGUAACGGCUCACCUAGCGACGAUGCGUAGCCGACCUGAGAGGGUGAACGGCCACACUGGGACUGAGACACGGCCCAGACUCCUACGGGAGGCAGCAGUAGGGAAUAUUGGACAAUGGGCGAAAGCCUGAUCCAGCCAUGCCGCGUGAGUGAAGAAGGCCUUAGGGUUGUAAAGCUCUUUCGUUGGGGAAGAUAAUGACGGUACCCUCUAAGGAAGCCACGGCUAAUUACGUGCCAG
RNAcentral lists this ribosomal RNA (469 nucleotides) under uncultured bacterium. RNAcentral's name for it is "bacterial SSU rRNA". It matches the Rfam family "Bacterial small subunit ribosomal RNA", at positions 28 to 511 of the family's 1533-position model. The record is from RNAcentral.